Coffea arabica (coffee) is the source of this 376-nucleotide non-coding RNA. The record is from RefSeq and is a predicted model, not a curated record. NCBI's taxonomy places the organism in Eukaryota, Viridiplantae, Streptophyta, Magnoliopsida, Gentianales, Rubiaceae.
ACAUGUUGCUUUCAGUUAUCGCCCCUAAAAAGUCAUGGGCAGUCAAUCUUCUGGAAGUUACAGGUUGAUUAGUCAGGAUGCUAUGCGUCUUUUCAUUUUGGGUGGUGUUCUGUGGAACAUGCUAAUUCAGAUUGUGAAUGUUCUCAAUAUUCUCGGAGAAUCUGUAACUAGUGUAUAUUGUCACAUUUGAGAAUAUGACUAAUGGAGGAGUUAUGAAACCUGAGCACAUUGCCACAGCUUCAAGAUAAGAUAAAACUUGCUGCUACUGAUCCACAGAAUAGGACAUCCAACUACAGGGAGAAAAUUUAUUCCCACCAAGCCUUCAACGAAAAACUUUGAGACGACUGAAACCAUCGAUAAAAGAAUAUCAGCAGCA